AUAUUAAUAAGCGGAGGAAAAGAAACUAACAAGGAUUCCCUUAGUAACGGCGAGUGAAGCGGGAAUAGCUCAAAUUUGAAAUCUCCAGGGGCGACCUUGGCGAAUUGUAGUUUAGAGAAGCGCUUUCUGGGAGGGAAGCUGUCCAAGUUCUUUGGAACGAGACAUCAGAGAGGGUGAGAAUCCCGUAUCUGGCGGCUGGUAACCUUCCUCUACGGGGCGUUUUCAACGAGUCGGGUUGUUUGGGAAUGCAGCCCAAAACUGG
RNAcentral lists this ribosomal RNA (262 nucleotides) under uncultured eukaryote. Its description in RNAcentral is "partial large subunit ribosomal RNA". It matches the Rfam family "Eukaryotic large subunit ribosomal RNA", at positions 40 to 296 of the family's 3401-position model. The record is from RNAcentral.